CGCUGGCGGCGCGCCUAAUACAUGCAAGUCGAGCGAGAAGACGUAGCAAUACGUUUGUAAAGCGGCGAACGGGUGAGGAAUACAUGGGUAACCUACCCUCGAGUGGGGAAUAACUAGCGGAAAGGUUAGCUAAUACCGCGUACGCUCCUUGGACUUCGGUUCAGGGAGGAAAGCGAUACCGUGGGUAUCGCGCUCUUGGUUGGGCUCAUGUCCUAUCAGCUUGUUGGUGAGGUAACGGCUCACCAAGGCUUCGACGGGUAGCUGGUCUGAGAGGACGAUCAGCCACACUGGCACUGCGACACGGGCCAGACUCCUACGGGAGGCAGCAGUAAGGAAUAUUGCGCAAUGGGCGAAAGCCUGACGCAGCGACGCCGCGUGGGGGAUGAAGGUCUUCGGAUUGUAAACCCCUUUCGGGAGGGAAGAUGGAACGAGCAAUCGUUCGGACGGCACCUCCAGAAGCAGCCACGGCUAACUUCGUGCCAGCAGCCGCGGUAAUACGAAGGUGGCAAGCGUUAUUCGGAUUUACUGGGCGUACAGGGAGCGUAGGCGGUUCGGUAAGCCCUCUGUGAAAUCUCCAGGCUUAACCUGGAACAGUCGGAGGGGACUGCUGGGCUAGAGGACGGGAGAGGAGCGCGGAAUUCCCGGUGUAGCGGUGAAAUGCGUAGAGAUCGGGAGGAAGGCCGGUGGCGAAGGCGGCGCUCUGGAACGUUUCUGACGCUGAGGCUCGAAAGCGUGGGGAGCAAA
RNAcentral lists this ribosomal RNA (744 nucleotides) under uncultured soil bacterium. Its description in RNAcentral is "bacterial SSU rRNA". It matches the Rfam family "Bacterial small subunit ribosomal RNA", at positions 34 to 772 of the family's 1533-position model. The record is from RNAcentral.